AGUGAUCUCUGGCUAAAUAUAAUUUAUUUUUCUUAGCCAAGCGUGACAAAUUCAAUGAUAAAUUGGUCACGAUAGUUUCCAGGGGGAACCGCGUGGAGGUCGAUCUGAUAGGGUAUAUUGAUAGUAAUGGGGACUAAACUCCCUAUUACUAACAAUUCCUUCUCCCCGGUUAACCUGUUAGGGUAUGUUAGCAAUGGGGCUGUUAGAUCCCAUUAUUAACAAUCCCUUUCCCCCCUUUGUGAGAGGGUUGCCAACGUGCCUGGUCCUGCUAUAAGCAAUACAGUAUAUUUUGUUUACAUUUACCCUAAAUUUUCAUGAAAAGACAGAAGGUUCUGGAUUCCAAACUCAAGUUUUUGAAUAUUGAUUGACAUAAUUAUAAAAUACAUUAUUAAUUUUUGAAAAACAGAAGGGACGGAAACCUCCAUUACUGUAUCUUAACAAGUGGAAUUCAAUAAAUCAAUGUCCGACAGUCGGAGCCAAGAGUUUGUUAAUGAACGUUGAAACAAAAACAUUUGAGAAUUGACUUGAGAACACUCUCAGAUAUAUAAGUAAAUACACAUGUUUUCCUUAUUAGGGGAGUUACAUCAUAUACUGUGAUGACUCACCGUCUGUAGGCUGAGUGGAUUGGUGAUUAUUUAAAUAGUGUGAUUACUUCCUUGUGUAUAAAGAGAUCUGGGGGUUUACCAUCGAAUGAAUUCCUAAUUUUUGGACUCAGUUUCGUUUGUUUUUACAACAGUCAGAUUGUCAGUAAUGUUGAGGUUAGUUCCUAUUGCUGUCAACUUACCGUAUCAGGUCGACCUCCACGCGGUUCCCCCUGGAAACCAUCGUGACAUCUAAUUUAUCGUUGAAUUUGUCACAAUGGGCUAACUGAUCUGCCUUUUCAUCCUCACCUAUCAUCUCUAUCACUGGUGCCCCGUCAGUGUAUACCGAUAGCACAGGCGGGGUUACCGUACCAUUAUCAUCCAUUGAAAAAAAACUACCUGCCUUUUCAUUCCCACCUAUCAUUCCUCACUGGUGCCCCAUCCAAUAGAUACCGAUAACGCUGGUGGGGUUACCAUUCCGAUAUCAUCUAUUAGAAAGUGAAAGGUUGGCUGUCAGCUUACAAUAGCUGUUCUUGUCUCUUGAACAACAUGAAUUCGUAUCAUUAUCAUCAUAUCGGUCGAUAAUUGUCCAUUAUUGAACGUAGGCCUCCCCUUGGGGGGUUUUCCUAGUAGUUGCCACGCUUGGUUAGGCUAAUUGGUAAUUGCUAAAUUUUUACUUCAAUUUUUAUAUUCCCUUUUAAAACGUCGGCAGCACACCUGCAAUGCCUUUGUUGUUGUGGGUGAUCAUGGGCGGCGGUAGUCACUUACCAUCAGGUGUGCUGCACGCUCGUUUGCCCCCUGUGUUGUAAAAAAAAAAUACUUUUUUGUUUACUAACAUAGUUUGUAAGGAAAUUGUUGCUAACAAAAUGGAUCUAAUUGUAGUCUAAAAAUUAAAAAAAAAUUAUACAUUGCUAGCAGUGGGGCCUUUAGCCCCAUUUUUUUUUUUAUACAACUUAGAAUGGCAAACAAGCUGUCGGCCCACCUGAUGGAAAGUGGUAACCGUCGCCUAUAGACAUGAGCAGUACCGUGGACAUAACAGAGUAUACUGUUUCGCCCAUGAUACCCCCCAUGCGUUGUCAUUCCUGAGGACUCAGGUGUUAUUCCUCUGUACCCAGUAAAUUCACGCAUUAUUAUUAACAAUUGUCACCCUUGGUUUGUAGAUAUAUAUCAUUAGUCGAGUAUACGCGCUUGGUUGACCAUUACGAGAUCCUGUUCCAAUGUACAGCUGGUAAAUGAGUACAGGAAAAUUAUAUGAUACGUAGGUACAUUGCAUUUUAACUAGACGGACCGACAGUAGACAAGAUAAUUGGGAAAGAAUAACUAGUAGUUGGCGAUAUCAUUUGAAUAAAGUAACUUGUAACAGUCGAUCGUUUAUAUAAAUACGCCGGUCAAGUGCGAGUCGGCCUCGCGCAACGAGGGUUCUGUACAAAAUCAUCAAGUUAAUUUUUUUUUUUGUGAACUUACUACAAAUUUACGGUUUUAGGAUUUUUUCCUUUACAUGGCAUUGGUGUCCUUUGCUACAUGGCAUUGGUUCUUGUCAAAUUUCAUGUUCAACAGGAAGUACCGUUAUAGUUAUAUGGUUUUGAUUCCCUUUGUGAAUCUCAAAAUAUGCGAUAUAAAUGGAACAAAAACGGCCGUAUCUUUUGAUUGCGUCGAUUUAGAAAUUCGAUUUUUUCUCUGCUUUAAGAGAUUGCAGACCUGUGUAUAUGAUAUUAAUUUCAAUUUGAUACCUCCACGCGCUCCUAAGAAAAAGGGUCUUGACACACGGACGGACGGACAACGAAGUGAGCCUAUAAGGAUUCCGUUUUCCUUUCGAGGUACAGAACCCAGAAUUAGACAGACAGAAUUUACAGGGUACAGAAGAAUAAUACCUGAGUCCUCAGGAAUAGUAACGCAUGGGGGUAUCAUGGGCGAAACAGUAUACUCUGUUAUGUCCAUGGUACUGCUCAUGUCUAUAGACGACGGUUACCACUUUCCAUCAGGUGGGCCGUCAGCUUGAUUGUCACUCUAAGUUGCAUAAAAAAAUUGUUUAAUGGCAAACAAGUAGAUGAUAAAACACUACCAGAUGGCAAUAAAAAUCAAUAAAAAAGUUUUACUAAAUUGACGCUCAACCACCAAUACCACCUAACUGACAUUUACAAAUUCCUUAUCGAAAUUUCUUUUAAUUAAUUUUAUUUUUCUAAGUUACAUAGAGAAAUGACUGUAAUAUUAUAGAAUAUUGGUAUUAAAACCAACUCUUUUUUAAAUUAAUUAUAUUUGGAAUAAAUACAGAAAUAUGUUUUCCGUGUCUCGUGUAAAAUAUUGUCCGCCUUAUUAUAUAAGGCAUUCGCAGAUAACCGUUGUGAUGUCGUUAAACGCUGAAAAUAGUGAAUUUGACAUCUUUCCAUCAGUCUAUGAACUAAGAAUUGCUUUACUCUAAUCGGUCUGUCGUAAAAUGUUGCCACGUUGUAGGCUAAAAAAGAUCCGGUACUAUCCGGGCCUGAUACGUAACUGUAUGAAACAUAUUCUUAAGGCGCUGUUUGCACGCUUCAAAUGUAUUUACGCGAACUCUUGUACAAACUGAACAUUCCUGCUUGUGUGUAUAUAUGUAUCUACCUAUAAGUAGGUACGACGUCGCGUAUCAGUCGUCCGCCUAUCUCGGUGACCUUCGGAGCGCACCGCCGGCUGGCAACAGCGGCAGCGUAGCGUAAACCAUAUCUAUACCUACGCUAUGCUACAGAUUUGAUCAAACAACGCUACCUAUAGCUAUAUUAUGUGGCGCGCUUAGCACGAUGACCCGUUCCCCCGGCCCCCGCGCCCCGCGCCGCUCCCUCGCUGCCGCUCCGUGACGCAUCGCAUUCUCGACUCGGCACAACAGAAUAACCCGGCGCAGGCGGACACAAGUGCACUGUUCUCGGAACAGUUUCGAAAGCAGACACGUUCGUUGCGAAGCAGAUGCGAAAUGCAACUACUAUUAUUAGAUAGCUGCCUAAUUUUUGGGCUGUGCGAUGUACCGAGCUUUGAUAAUGAAAGCGGGUCAUGAAAAGUCAAGGACUUGCUCAAUGGAGAGAAAUAAAACUACGAAAUAGGCUCUUGUUUUUUUAUUACUUCUUGUUUGAUAUCGUUUUGUACUUUUGUCUCAUAUAAUUGAUAACCUAUGAACAAAUGUAGCCGUUCCGAGGCACUAUAUCGUAUAAAUAAAUAAGAUUGUGUUCCGCAGUCUUGUUAUAAAAUAAAUUAACAUUUUCCACAAAAAAAAAAAAAAAAAAAAACUCGACGUGGUAGCAAAACGAGUUAUUUUGAGUUAAAAUCUAAACGAUUGAAUCGAUUUUGAUAAAAUUUCUAUGAGAGCGAUCUGUAAGUAUAUUCUUUUAGAUAAAAAAACAAUUUUAUAAAUCGGUUUACAACUACAGGAGGUCCACAACCUCUUUCUUUAUGAAGUUGGUUGAAAAAAAAAAUCUGCAUUAUUCAUUUAUCUACACCAAAGCGUAAAAAGAUUGCUUUAAAAAAAAUUGUGUACUUCUUUUUUAGUCGACAGUAAUUUCACGCGUAUAGUUUUAUUUAUAUACGUUCCAAGAUUAAAUUUAACUGUUCCAACAACAAGAUUAGGAUUACAUUAACGAUUUGAUAUCGCGGUACCGUUGUUGCUAUAAUUUAUUAGUUUAAUUCCUAAAAACAGGAAGCGUGUCAUUUGAAAUUCAAUACGUUGUUUUUCUACAAGUUUUUAGGUCGAUAACGGUAUCGGGCAUCGGGUGCAUGCGAAAUACACCCAUUUGCAAGCUAUAAACUGUUUUUAAGAGCUCGCCUGAAUGUACUGUGCCACUUGUGCCUGACAACUAAUAUUUGCGCAGCUCUUGGGCGCGCGGCUAAAUAAUUUACUCGUAUGUAACACUCCUCCGACACUUCGGUUUGUCUUCGACUGCAUUGUAUGGCACUGUGAAAUCUAUUGAAACACGGCUUUUAGUGCAUUCAAACUUCUUCCUUGUCCAACCACUAUGAAGUGUCUACAGCUAAAAACAGAGUCUUUUAUUACCCCAUUGUGUUUGCUGGUUUUGUAAACUGUACUGUACUGUGUACAUCUUUGAUUUUUUUUUAACUCCUCUUUCAGUAAAUAGUUAUACAAUGACAAUAUAUAUUUAUUCCUUUAUAUAUGUAAUUUUAGUAUGUAUGUAUAUCAAUAAUUACUAGUACCGCAUUCGAGUAUUCUGACACUUCCCUAUGGUUGACUGGGAGAGAAUACUUUUAGCAUUGAGUCCGCCAUGUACACAUAUUUGUAUUAAUGAAUAAAUAAAUAAAUUCUGUAAUAUCUAAUAUUUAAUGAAUAGACAUCAAAAAUAUGACUAAUCAAAUCCGAUUAACCGAAGACUUUGAUCGAUGAUCAUUUAAUAUACAAUUUACAGUAAUACCUACUCGCAUGAGAAAUAUUCUAAAUGAGCACGCUAAUGGGCCAACGGUAUCAAUUAAUGCCGUUGGGUGUCACAAACAAAUGAAUCACUACAAAACUUGCAUAUCUAUCAAUGUAAGCAAAAUUAUGUAAUAGUGUUAAAUAAAAAAUCUAUUAAGAUACUAAAAUUAGUUUGGAUUUGGUGUUAUAAAAAUGUGACAAUCAGGGCCGUAGCUAGACCCAAGUUUAAGGUAGGGCAAAAGAACUUUUUGGUAUGGCAGAAGCCAUAUAUACUGGAUAAUAUUGUAACAGAUCCUUAGACUAUUUCUAAAGUGAAAGAAGUGUUGUCCUGCUCUCUCCUACUUGCUGUGCCCAACAGGGUCCAUAAUUGAAAUGUUAUCUACUGAUUAUAUUAUGGAAUGCAAUAAGAAAUAAAUAAAUAUUUCUU
Long non-coding RNA from Galleria mellonella (greater wax moth), 5392 nucleotides. RefSeq lists it as uncharacterized. The transcript is spliced from 2 exons. NCBI's taxonomy places the organism in Eukaryota, Metazoa, Arthropoda, Insecta, Lepidoptera, Pyralidae. The record is from RefSeq and is a predicted model, not a curated record.